UGGGGAAUAUUGCACAAUGGGCGAAAGCCUGAUGCAGCGACGCCGCGUGCGGGAUGAAGGCCUUCGGGUUGUAAACCGCUUUCAGCAGGGACGAAGCGGAAGUGACGGUACCUGCAGAAGAAGCGCCGGCUAACUACGUGCCAGCAGCCGCGGUAACACGUAGGGCGCGAGCGUUGUCCGGAAUUAUUGGGCGUAAAGAGCUCGUAGGCGGUCUGUCACGUCUGCUGUGAAAACCCGGGGCUUAACCCCGAGCCUGCAGUGGAUACGGGCAGACUAGAGGUAGGUAGGGGAGAAUGGAAUUCCCGGUGUAGCGGUGAAAUGCGCAGAUAUCGGGAGGAACACCGGUGGCGAAGGCGGUUUCUUCUUGGGCCUUACCUGACGCUGAGGAGCGAAAGCGUGGGGAGCGAACA
This 410-nucleotide ribosomal RNA is filed under the name uncultured Actinomycetales bacterium. RNAcentral describes it as "bacterial SSU rRNA". It matches the Rfam family "Bacterial small subunit ribosomal RNA", at positions 355 to 774 of the family's 1533-position model. Lineage: Bacteria; Bacillati; Actinomycetota; Actinomycetes; Actinomycetales. The record is from RNAcentral.